UUUGCAGUAACUUAAAAAAGUAUUUAACUGUUAAUUAAAAUAAAUAUAGGUUAAAAUCCUAUCUGCAAAG
Molecule: transfer RNA, 70 nt
Filed under: Tabachnickia sp. DVL-2014
Lineage: Eukaryota; Metazoa; Porifera; Hexactinellida; Amphidiscosida; Hyalonematidae
Description: tRNA-Asn
Rfam family: tRNA
About the family: Transfer RNA (tRNA) molecules are approximately 80 nucleotides in length. Their secondary structure includes four short double-helical elements and three loops (D, anti-codon, and T loops).
Source: RNAcentral